UGUAAAGGAAUCCCCCUAAAACUUACUUAAUACCAUGUUCUUUCUAGGCUUAAGUACGAUCCUCCUCUUUUUUCUUUGUUUUUGGCUUUUAGUCCUUGCAAAUCUUCCUCUAUCCUGCUACCUUGGAAUUGAGGGCAUUCUUAGUGAAUUCCCUUUACAUUUUCUUUCUUUUACAGAGGAAAGUAGAGCAAUUGUGUUUCCAACCUUUGUAAAUAAUUAAGGUCCUUGAGUCCUUGUAUCAUUCUGGUUGCCCUCUGUUGUACCUUCUUGAUUUCAAUAAUAUUCUUUUCAUAUUAAUGCGAUCCGUCUUGUAGGACUGCUCUUGCUGCAUUCCAAAUGGAAACUCUCCUCCUGCCCUCUCCAUUAUAACACAAUAAUGGUUGUUGACCUGUAUUCUGACGCUGUGGAGCCACAGUUCCAUUUCCUAUUCUUCAGAUGCUGGAAUUUUCCCUACUGCUUUUUCUUUCUGUGCUAUCUUUAUUAUCCAGUGACCCAAACUUCAGGGCCAUCUUUACCUCCUUUCUAUCUGUCCUUGGUCGCCAAUAGUCACCUGCAAGAGGCAACUGCUUCCACUAAGAAACCAUGCCGGUGGAAGCUAUAAAUAGACUCAAGAAGGGUUUGGAGGCAAUAAGAGAGAGAGCCUUAGUGCACUCAUGAAGGGAAGGAGAUAAAUUGCUAAUGUUUUCUGGGUGCAAAUGAAGCAACUGGCAUGUUCAAAGAAGACCACUGCCAUGUUGGUGCCGUUGCCAGAAACAAAUACUGCCCCCAGUGGACCUAGGCUGUGAACGGCUAUGAUAUUUUCUGUGCCCCUUUCUGACAUAUCUGGGGUUUUCCAAUUCUUUCCUAGUCUCUACUGUGCUCUGUUUCUGGUUUAUGUCUUGGAUUACCAGAACAUUCUUCUUUCUCAACUCCAACACACUCUCUCUAUCAACUCCAAACUCUUCUGCAUGUGGCUGUCAAAAUAAUUCUUCAUGCCUGGCACUGGGAUCAAGGUAUUCAGUGGCUUAAUCCUCCAGUGGCUCUUCAUGUCUCUAAUCAAAAUCUUCUUCUGUUGCUAUUGAAGGCCUCCAGCUACUAGAACUGACUGUCCUAUUUGAAGGGAUCCUAUGCCAUUUCUUUACCUUCUUGUCACCCACUUACUUCUGCUAGAUUUGGUCCUCUGUCACUUAUUUCUCACUUCCUUCUCUCCAGUAAUCUAAAAUUUAUGUUUUAAGAUCUCCCCAACAUGUUCCAAAUCCCAUUUCUCCAUUUCUUUAAAUUAUGGGUUAAAGUUCAACUUUAACUAAAAAUUUUUCUUAAAUAACCUAACCCAGUCAGAAACCAUUAUACCCAGUCCUAUGCUUCUUUCAGAUAUAUUCAUGUGAUAAUGGUAAAAUGUAAGUAUUUGUUUAAAGCCAUGCCUCCACGUUCAAAUAGUUGUAUUCAUUUUAGAUGUGCACAUUCAGUCCAGAAGUAUCAAAGCAGCUGGGAUUCUGGGGCAGUUUCCAUGACUAUAGUCAGGUAAUCUGCAAAUUUCAUUUCAAAAACUAAAUUCUAGUAACUUGUAAUAACUUGGCUAGUACAUUGAUGAUUUUUUAAAGCAAAUAUGAAACUAUCAGAAAUAUAUGAAUAGCAACAAAACUUUUUAUCAUUCCUAAGAUUCCUAAGAGAUGUGUGUGGUGGAUGGUGUGUGUGUGUGUGUACAUAAUGAGAGAAGAGGUGGGGGUAUCAAAAUGAGCUAGGCAAGAUUAAGAACACACAUCUCUGAGAUCCCCUUUAUACCAUUCAGGUCGCCCUUUGAUGAACUUUUUUUUUUUUUUUUUUUUAGGGCUGUACCUAUGGCAUAUGGAAGUUUUUGGGCCAGGGGUCUAAAUGGAGCUGCAGCUACUGGCCUACACCACAGCCACAGCAGAGCUGGAUCUGAGCCACAUCUGUGACCUAUGUCACAGCUUGCAACAAUGCUGGAUCUUUAACCCACUGAGUAGGGUCAGGGAGAAAACCCACGUUCUCACAGACACUUUUUAUGGCAUCCCAAGUGGAGCUGUUUCUCCAACAACUACCACUAUAUUGUUAUUACAUGCAUUGAACUGCAUUUCGUGGCUGCCCGUUCAUGAU
This 2094-nucleotide long non-coding RNA is filed under the name Sus scrofa (pig). Its description in RNAcentral is "lncRNA (ENSSSCG00000043579.1, ENSSSCG00180022310.1)". Lineage: Eukaryota; Metazoa; Chordata; Mammalia; Artiodactyla; Suidae. The record is from RNAcentral.